Molecule: long non-coding RNA, 2667 nt
Organism: Meriones unguiculatus (Mongolian gerbil)
Lineage: Eukaryota; Metazoa; Chordata; Mammalia; Rodentia; Muridae
Exons: 3
Source: RefSeq, a predicted model, not a curated record
GGCCAGCCUCACAGUAGACUUCUCAGCCAAACAACGUGGCACACCCCUGUCAGCAACAGGAGGCCAGGGUGGAGAGCUGAAAGUCGGAGGCCAGUCUGACCUACACACUCACAGUGUUGUGGUUUUGGAUGCACAUCCCUCAGCCUAGCUUUCACGUGGGUGCAGAUAAUCCAAACUUGGGUCCUCACCUUUGCAUGGCAAGCAUUUUCCUGACAGAUCCAUCUCCCAGCUCCAAAGGGAUAUUUUAAUUUUGUUCUGGACAUUGACGGGUCCAAUCUUGUGGAGAUCUUGUGACAAGGGAAUUCAGCUGCUGUGAGUUCAAGAGGGCAAGACCCAUGUCAUACCCAGAGUUCCACCACUCUUUCCGCCCCCACAUUUCCUCUGGUUGUUGCUUUCUCUUCACCCCGUGUCCCAUAGUGUCUCCUGGGCCUUGGAGGAGAUGAUACAGAUGUCUCCUUUAUGGCUGGACAUUCAACAGCCAUUUCUUCUCUGGACUCUGGUCACUAUGAGUCUCUGCUGUUAUUGCUGACUGCUGCAAGCACAGACUCUUUUCUGACCGAAGCUGACACCAGCACUGUCUGAAGGACGUGAGCUCCGGGCAAUCCCUUUUCACCUGACUCUUGAGAGCUUUCGUUUUGCAGUCCAGAGGAAGCAAUCAUCGUGUAGCCAUGGAAAUCAACGAGUGCAGAGGAAAUGUUGCAGGGAAUAAUGAAGCCAACGAGCUCAACGCCACAAAAGUUGGUCACAUCCUAAAACAAUUGAAGUACAAGAAUCCAGAGGCUCUUGGAGGAAGUGUGGUAUUUUGACAGUAACCUCUACGGCAAGUGAGCACAUUUCAAGAUGCUAAAGUGUUUGCAAAAUGUGAACUAAGCCUGUUGCUCAUUCCUCAUCCUUUCACCUCAACAACCCUGAUGCCCACUUUCCAUGGUCUUCCCAUCCUAUGAAUAAACCCUGGGUUUAAAUGACUUUCCAAAAACAAACGUGACAUACACUCUGAUGGGUGGCCCCACACCUAGAAGGAUAUAUGAACAGCACAUGUUUGAGGUGAUGGAUUAGUAAAUGAAUAUAUACACACAAAGGACAUGAAGUUUGGGGUAUAGGGAUGAAGGUAUUUGGGAGGAGUUAAAAAACUGGGGUGAAUAUGAUCAACAUACAUUGUAUGAACUCUCAAAUAAUUAAUUAAACAUACGUAUUAUUUAAACUAUUAUUAGUGGCAGCAUUUAAAGAACAUGUUCUUUCCACCAAUCAGAAGUCAUCUUAGCUAAGUGAGCCAUGUCCACAUGUCCUGGCCUGAAUUUUACAGAACAAAUAUCUUGCAACUAACUUUUCACACCUAUAACUAUUCUGUCUUCAUUAUCAUUGUGGCAGGAAGCAUGGCAGUGUGCAGGCAGACAUGGUUCUGGAGAAGUUGCUGAGAGUUCUAAAUCUUGGUCUGCAGGCAGCAAAAGGAGACUGUCUUCCACACUGGGCAUGGCUUGAGCAUAUAAAACCUCAGGGCCUCCACCCCCAUAGUGACACAGUUCCUCCAACAAGGCCACACCUCCAGAUAGUGCCACUCCCUAUGGCUAAGCACUCAAACACAUGAAUCUAGGGGCCAUAUGUACUCAAGCCAACAAAACAGUGAGCGAUGGGGGUGGAGCUGAGUCAAUGGAUGUGGGGCUCUGAAGGUGAAAGGUUGUUAGUGUCUAAAAUACCUAUGUGUCCCCUGAGCAAUUCCUCCCCAUACAAAUCUACCCCUUACCCAUAGCCUGUCAGUGUGAGUUCAAACUUUUUUCAAAACUGAGCACGUCGGCCUUCAUUCAAGACUUCCCACUGCUGGCCUGAAGGUAAAGCCGUGUUCCUGGACUCAGGACAUUGGUAAACUCCCUAUCGUUUCCUAAUCCACAAAGCCAAGAUUCCAGCAGGCUUCCUGGCAUGGCAAAGUGCCAGGCCUGCCAGAAUAUCCUCAUUACCUGUGGAGAAUGGAGCAUUAGUGCUGUGCCUCCCACUGUGUGGCUCUGCUCUUGGAAGUGCGGUAGGUAACAAGGCCCACCCUUCCUGAUGGCCUCUCUGCCCUGGAUGGGGGAAUGGAGCAAUAAUCCAGAUCUCCUUAGUCAGGCUUUUUAACCAAGGAAGAAGAACCCAGAGGAACAAAGUGGCUUCAAGUCAAGCAUCUCAGCUUAAGCAUUGAGAGGGAUGCCAGGCCCAGUUUCUCCCAGGCCCAGUUUCUCCCAGGCCCAGUUUCUCCCAGGCCCAGUUUCUCCCAGGCCCAGUUUCUCCCAGGCCCAGUUUCUCCCAGGCCCAGUUUCUCCCAGGCCCAGUUUCUCCCAGGCCCAGUUUCUCCAGCCAACAGCAUUGUGUAAUGGACAUCCCCAAAGCUCUGGAGGACCGAAAGAGCAUUUGUACAAGUCAUGCUUUCUCUCUCUCUCUCUCUAUCUCUCCACAGAAAAUUCAGGUCUACUUUUAUUAUUUUAACUGAUGUCUCUGUACCCAGGUUUUUGCAACCUGUCUUUGUCAAAAUAUCUGGCCAGGAUCUCAGAAUUUUAAAACUUUUUUCUUUGUUGGAUAACAUGGAUGACUGGGUUAAUUCAUAGUCUCUUUGUCCAGACUCUUUUUAAGAAUCUCCAAGGCAUUCUGAACAAAUGGAAUUUUGCUUGCUUGAUUAGGAGGAAUAAAACCAGAAAGUCA